This 465-nucleotide ribosomal RNA is filed under the name uncultured bacterium. Its description in RNAcentral is "partial 16S ribosomal RNA". It matches the Rfam family "Bacterial small subunit ribosomal RNA", at positions 28 to 507 of the family's 1533-position model. The record is from RNAcentral.
GACGAACGCUGGCGGCGUGCUUAACACAUGCAAGUCGAACGGAAAGGCCCUGCUUGCAGGGUACUCGAGUGGCGAACGGGUGAGUAACACGUGGGUGAUCUGCCCUGCACUUCGGGAUAAGCCUGGGAAACUGGGUCUAAUACCGGAUAGGAGCCAUUUUUAGUGUGAUGGUUGGAAAGUUUUUUCGGUGUAGGAUGAGCUCGCGGCCUAUCAGCUUGUUGGUGGGGUAAUGGCCUACCAAGGAGGCGACGGGUAGCCGGCCUGAGAGGGUGGACGGCCACAUUGGGACUGAGAUACGGCCCAGCCUCCUACGGGAGGCAGCAGUGGGGAAUAUUGCACAAUGGGCGCAAGCCUGAUGCAGCGACGCCGCGUGGGGGAUGACGUCCUUCGGGUUGUAAACUCCUUUCGCUAGGGACGAAGCUUUUUGUGACGGUACCUAGAUAAGAAGCUCCGGCUAACUACGUG